ACUCAAAGGAAUUGACGGGGGCCCGCACAAGCGGUGGAGCAUGUGGUUUAAUUCGAUGCUACGCGAAAAACCUUACCUAGGCUUGACAUCCCGUGCUACCCCGUGAAAGCGGGGGUCCUCUUCGGAGGCGCGGAGACAGGUGCUGCAUGGCUGUCGUCAGCUCGUGUUGUGAGAUGUUGGGUUAAGUCCCGCAACGAGCGCAACCCUCGUCACUAGUUACCAGCAUUAAGUUGGGCACUCUAGUGAGACCGCUGAGCUAUAAGCCAGAGGAAGGUGGGGAUGACGUCAAGUCCUCAUGGCCUUUAUGUCUAGGGCAACACACGUGCUACAAUGGGAGGCACAAUACGUCGCAAGCGCGCGAGCGCAAGCUAAUCGUAAAAAACCUCCCUCAGUUCGGAUUGGAGUCUGCAACUCGACUCCAUGAAGCUGGAAUCGCUAGUAAUCGUGGAUCAGCACGCCACGGUGAAUACGUUCCCGGGCCUUGUACACACCGCCCGU
RNAcentral lists this ribosomal RNA (498 nucleotides) under uncultured bacterium. Its description in RNAcentral is "partial 16S ribosomal RNA". It matches the Rfam family "Bacterial small subunit ribosomal RNA", at positions 899 to 1397 of the family's 1533-position model. The record is from RNAcentral.